RNAcentral lists this ribosomal RNA (197 nucleotides) under uncultured bacterium. RNAcentral's name for it is "partial 16S ribosomal RNA". It matches the Rfam family "Bacterial small subunit ribosomal RNA", at positions 1290 to 1500 of the family's 1533-position model. The record is from RNAcentral.
AGUUCGGAUUGUAGGCUGAAACUCGCCUACAUGAAGCUGGAAUUGCUAGUAAUCACAGGUCAGCAUACUGUGGUGAAUACGUUCCCGGGCCUUGUACACACCGCCCGUCACACCAUGAGAGUUGAGAAUACCCGAAGCCCAUGUCAAAGUGGUCGAAGGUAGGCUUGAUGAUUGGGGUGAAGUCGUAACAAGGUAAC